Molecule: ribosomal RNA, 812 nt
Filed under: Tetragonula fuscibasis
Lineage: Eukaryota; Metazoa; Arthropoda; Insecta; Hymenoptera; Apidae
Description: eukaryotic LSU rRNA
Rfam family: Eukaryotic large subunit ribosomal RNA
Source: RNAcentral
AAACCGUUCAGGGGUAAACCUGAGAAACCCAAAAGAUCGAAUGGGGAGAUUCAUCGUCGACGGCGUUGGCUACCGUUUGUGCGCGAUGCUCCGGGUGGGACCCUGCGGUUCCAUUAGCGAGGGCACGCCACCUUCGGAUCGAACUUUCCUGCGUCGUAGUCGUGCACUUCUCCCCUAGUAGGACGUCGCGACCCGUUGUGUGUCGGUCUACGGCCCGAGCGGGAGACUGUCGCGUCGCUUCGGCGCACGCGGCAGACCCUCGGUCGCCCGGCCGGCUGCACGACGGUACACCAACGGUAUCGGGCCGCAGCCAAUCCAUUCUCGAAUGUGUGUGCGUCCAUCCCGCCGCAAGCUCGGUCAGUUCUUACCCGGAGGUACGGACCCUGUGCCGUCCCCGGGCCUGGCCAGCUGUUAGCAGGCGGUGUCCUCGGACCGGCCAAACCUCGGAUUACCGGUCGGCGACGCUAUUGCUUUGGGUACUCUCAGGACCCGUCUUGAAACACGGACCAAGGAGUCUAACAUGUGCGCGAGUCAUUGGGAUGCACAAACCUAAAGGCGAAAUGAAAGUGAAAGUCGGCCUUCGCGCCGAUCGAGGGAGGAUGGGCCGCGUAACCAUGCGGCCCCGCACUCCCGGGGCGUCUCGUUCUCACUGCGAGAAGAGGCGCACCUAGAGCGUACACGUUGGGACCCGAAAGAUGGUGAACUAUGCCUGGUCAGGACGAAGUCAGGGGAAACCCUGAUGGAGGUCCGUAGCGAUUCUGACGUGCAAAUCGAUCGUCGGAACUGGGUAUAGGGGCGAAAGASUAAUCGAA